This 241-nucleotide ribosomal RNA is filed under the name uncultured bacterium. RNAcentral describes it as "partial 16S ribosomal RNA". It matches the Rfam family "Bacterial small subunit ribosomal RNA", at positions 118 to 354 of the family's 1533-position model. The record is from RNAcentral.
UGAGGAACAUGACUUUCGGCGGGGAUAGCCGGCCCAACGGCCGGGUAAUACCGCGUACGACCACUCGGGGACAUCCCCAGGUGGUGAAAGCAGCAAUGCGCCGAUGGAGUGCCUCGCGGCCUAUCAGCUAGUUGGUGAGGUAACGGCUCACCAAGGCAACGGACGGGUAGCUGGUCUGAGGAGGGUGACCCGGCCACACGUGGGACUGAGACACGGCCCAGACUCCGUAGGGAGCAGCAGG